RNAcentral lists this ribosomal RNA (783 nucleotides) under Babesia sp. RNAcentral describes it as "SSU rRNA". It matches the Rfam family "Eukaryotic small subunit ribosomal RNA", at positions 147 to 1016 of the family's 1831-position model. Lineage: Eukaryota; Apicomplexa; Aconoidasida; Piroplasmida; Babesiidae. The record is from RNAcentral.
CCGUGCUAAAUGUAGGGCUAAUACACGUUUGAGGUCUUUUGACCGCGUUUAUUAGUUUGAAACCCGCCUUGGCUUUCGGUGAUUCAUAAUAAACUGGCGAAUCGCAUUUAGCGAUGGACCAUUCAAGUUUCUGACCCAUCAGCUUGACGGUAGGGUAUUGGCCUACCGAGGCAGCAACGGGUAACGGGGAAUUAGGGUUCGAUUCCGGAGAGGGAGCCUGAGAGACGGCUACCACAUCUAAGGAAGGCAGCAGGCGUGCAAAUUACCCAAUCCUGACACAGGGAGGUAGUGACAAGAAAUAACAAUACAGGGCGAAUGUCUUGUAAUUGGAAUGAUGGUGACCCAAACCCUCACCAGAGUAGCAAUUGGAGGGCAAGUCUGGUGCCAGCAGCCGCGGUAAUUCCAGCUCCAAUAGCGUAUAUUAAACUUGUUGCAGUUAAAAAGCUCGUAGUUGUAUUUUUGCGUUAGCGGUUUGACCAUUUGGUUGGUUAUUUCGUUUUCGCUUUUGGGAAUUUCCCUUUUUACUUUGAGAAAAUUAGAGUGUUUCAAGCAGACUUUUGUCUUGAAUACUUCAACAUGGAAUAAUAGAGUAGGACUUUGGUUCUAUUUUGUUGGUUAUUGAACCUUAGUAAUGGUUAAUAGGAACGGUUGGGGGCAUUCGUAUUUAACUGUCAGAGGUGAAAUUCUUAGAUUUGUUAAAGACGAACUACUGCGAAAGCAUUUGCCAAGGACGUUUCCAUUAAUCAAGGACGAAAGUUAGGGGAUCGAAGACGAUCAGAUACC